UACAGAGGGGGCAAGCGUUGUUCGGAAUUACUGGGCGUAAAGGGCGCGUAGGCGGCCUUCUAAGUCGAACGUGAAAUCCCCGGGCUCAACCCGGGAACUGCGUCCGAUACUGGAAGGCUUGAAUCCGGGAGAGGGAUGUGGAAUUCCAGGUGUAGCGGUGAAAUGCGUAGAUAUCUGGAGGAAUACCGGUGGCGAAGGCGGCAUCCUGGACCAUUACUGACGCUGAGGCGCGAAAGCUAGGGGAGCAAACGGG
Molecule: ribosomal RNA, 253 nt
Filed under: uncultured bacterium
Lineage: Bacteria
Description: partial 16S ribosomal RNA
Rfam family: Bacterial small subunit ribosomal RNA
Source: RNAcentral